Hordeum vulgare subsp. vulgare (domesticated barley) is the source of this 135-nucleotide non-coding RNA. Lineage: Eukaryota; Viridiplantae; Streptophyta; Magnoliopsida; Poales; Poaceae. The record is from Rfam.
AUACUACUCCCUCCAUCGUAAAAUUCUUGUCUCAGAUUUAUUUAAAUAUAAAUGUAUCUAGUUAUAUUUUAGUGUUAGAUACAUCCACAUCUACAGAAAUCUAAGACAAGAAUUUUAAAACGGAGGUAGUACAUG